AGUGAACGCUGGCGGUAGGCCUAACACAUGCAAGUCGAACGGCAGCACAGUAAGAGCUUGCUCUUACGGGUGGCGAGUGGCGGACGGGUGAGGAAUACAUCGGAAUCUACUUUUUCGUGGGGGAUAACGUAGGGAAACUUACGCUAAUACCGCAUACGACCUACGGGUGAAAGCAGGGGAUCUUCGGACCUUUCGCGAUUGAAUGAGCCGAUGUCGGAUUAGCUAGUUGGCGGGGUAAAGGCCCACCAAGGCGACGAUCCGUAGCUGGUCUGAGAGGAUGAUCAGCCACACUGGAACUGAGACACGGUCCAGACUCCUACGGGAGGCAGCAGUGGGGAAUAUUGGACAAUGGGCGCAAGCCUGAUCCAGCCAUGCCGCGUGGGUGAAGAAGGCCUUCGGGUUGUAAAGCCCUUUUGUUAGGAAAGAAAAGCAGCAGGUUAAUACCCCGCUGUUCUGACGGUACCCAAAGAAUAAGCACCGGCUAACUUCGUG
RNAcentral lists this ribosomal RNA (492 nucleotides) under uncultured bacterium. RNAcentral's name for it is "partial 16S ribosomal RNA". It matches the Rfam family "Bacterial small subunit ribosomal RNA", at positions 29 to 507 of the family's 1533-position model. The record is from RNAcentral.